UCUCCGUUGGUGAACCAGCGGAGGGAUCAUUACCGAGUUCCAGCAACUCCCAACCCUUGCGAACCGUACCCCAGUCUGUUCUCGUUGCUUCCGGCAGGCGGGGGGGGCCACCUGGCCCCUCCCCCUGCCGGGGGCGGCGGGCCCUCUGAGCCUUUAUAUCUCAACCACUGAAACCCGUCUGAGCAAAACAAAAAAUAAUCGAAACUUUCAACAACGGAUCUCUUGGCUCUG
Molecule: unclassified non-coding RNA, 231 nt
Filed under: plant metagenome
Description: partial contains small subunit ribosomal RNA, internal transcribed spacer 1, and 5.8S ribosomal RNA
Source: RNAcentral